AUUGAACGCUGGCGGCAGGCCUAACACAUGCAAGUCGAGCGGAUGAAGGGAGCUUGCUCCUGGAUUCAGCGGCGGACGGGGGAGUAAUGCCUAGGAAUCUGCCUGGUAGUGGGGGAUAACGUCCGGAAACGGGCGCUAAUACCGCAUACGUCCUGAGGGAGAAAGUGGGGGAUCUUCGGACCUCACGCUAUCAGAUGAGCCUAGGUCGGAUUAGCUAGUUGGUGGGGUAAAGGCCUACCAAGGCGACGAUCCGUAACUGGUCUGAGAGGAUGAUCAGUCACACUGGAACUGAGACACGGUCCAGACUCCUACGGGAGGCAUCAGUGGGGAAUAUUAGACAAUGGGCGAAAGCCUGAUCCAGCCAUGCCGCGUGUGUGAAGAAGGUCUUCGGAUUGUAAAGCACUUUAAGUUGGGAGGAAGGGCAGUAAGUUAAUACCUUGCUGUUUUGACGUUACCAACAGAAUAAGCACCGGCUAACUUCGUG
RNAcentral lists this ribosomal RNA (484 nucleotides) under uncultured bacterium. Its description in RNAcentral is "partial 16S ribosomal RNA". It matches the Rfam family "Bacterial small subunit ribosomal RNA", at positions 30 to 507 of the family's 1533-position model. The record is from RNAcentral.